Molecule: ribosomal RNA, 463 nt
Filed under: uncultured Acidobacteriota bacterium
Lineage: Bacteria; Pseudomonadati; Acidobacteriota
Description: bacterial SSU rRNA
Rfam family: Bacterial small subunit ribosomal RNA
Source: RNAcentral
GAGGAGUCCGCGGCCGAUUAGCUUGUUGGUAGGGUAACGGCCUACCAAGGCGAAGAUCGGUAGCCGGCCUGAGAGGGCACACGGCCACACUGGCACUGAAACACGGGCCAGACUCCUACGGGAGGCAGCAGUGGGGAAUCUUGCACAAUGGGGGCAACCCUGACGCAGCAACGCCGCGUGGAGGAUGAAGUCCCUUGGGACGUAAACUCCUUUCGACCCGGACGAUAAUGACGGUACGGGUGGAAGAAGCCCCGGCUAACUUCGUGCCAGCAGCCGCGGUAAUACGAGGGGGGCAAGCGUUGUUCGGAAUUAUUGGGCGUAAAGGGCGCGUAGGCGGUGCGGUAAGUCACCUGUGAAACCUCUAGGCUCAACCUAGAGCCUGCAGGCGAAACUGCCGUGCUUGAGGGUGGGAGAGGUGCGGGGAAUUCCCGGUGUAGCGGUGAAAUGCGUAGAUAUCGGGAGG